AGCGUAGACGGCAAGGCGAGUCUGAUGUGAAAACCCAGGGCUUAACCCUGGGACUGCAUUGGAAACUGUCUGGCUCGAGUGCCGGAGAGGUAAGCGGAAUUCCUAGUGUAGCGGUGAAAUGCGUAGAUAUUAGGAAGAACACCAGUGGCGAAGGCGGCUUACUGGACGGUAACUGACGUUGAGGCUCGAAAGCGUGGGGAGCAAACA
This 207-nucleotide ribosomal RNA is filed under the name uncultured bacterium. Its description in RNAcentral is "partial 16S ribosomal RNA". It matches the Rfam family "Bacterial small subunit ribosomal RNA", at positions 568 to 774 of the family's 1533-position model. The record is from RNAcentral.